GUCCCUGCAGAGCAAGGGAUAACAUGUUGGAUUUCUAAUCCAAAGGGAGAGGGCUCGAAUCCCUCCUGGGAUG
Molecule: non-coding RNA, 73 nt
Organism: Trichonephila clavata
Lineage: Eukaryota; Metazoa; Arthropoda; Arachnida; Araneae; Nephilidae
Source: the annotation of a GenBank genome assembly